This is a long non-coding RNA of Choloepus didactylus (southern two-toed sloth), 229 nucleotides long. RefSeq lists it as uncharacterized. Lineage: Eukaryota; Metazoa; Chordata; Mammalia; Pilosa; Megalonychidae. The transcript has 3 exons. The record is from RefSeq and is a predicted model, not a curated record.
CCUCCUCCAAAGGAGUCCGUGUCUUGCUGCUCUUUCAGCUGAAAUCCAUUGUUGGAAUACUGGAUCCUUGCUGGCACUUGCUGGAUGGAGACAAACUAGAAGACUCUGGGAACUUUGCUUCCAGAUCAUCCACAUGGUAACUGCCACAUACACAGCUAUUAAUCCCUCCUGGGCACCGUGCUGGACCCACACUCAACACCACACUGAAUGGAAAGCAAGCGCCUAGGAA